RNAcentral lists this ribosomal RNA (468 nucleotides) under uncultured Mollicutes bacterium. RNAcentral describes it as "bacterial SSU rRNA". It matches the Rfam family "Bacterial small subunit ribosomal RNA", at positions 910 to 1382 of the family's 1533-position model. The record is from RNAcentral. Lineage: Bacteria; Bacillati; Mycoplasmatota; Mollicutes.
UUGACGGGAACCCGCACAAGCGGUGGAGUAUGUUGUUAAUUCGAAGAUACACGAAGAACCUUACCAGGUCUUGACAUACCAUUGACAGGUGUAGAGAUACACUCUCCUUCGGGCAAUGGAUACAGGUGGUGCAUGGUUGUCGUCAGCUCGUGCCGUGAGGUGUUGGGUUAAGUCCCGCAACGAGCGCAACCCUCAUUGUUAGUUACUACCAUUCAGUUGAGGACUCUAAUGAGACUGCCAACGACAAGUUGGAGGAAGGUGGGGAUGACGUCAAAUCAUCAUGCCCUUUAUGACCUGGGCUACAAACGUACUACAAUGGCCAAUACAAAGAGAUGCGAAGCGGUGACGUGAAGCGAACCUCAGAAAGUUGGUCUCAGUUCAGAUUGAAGUCUGCAACUCGACUUCAUGAAGGCGGAAUCGCUAGUAAUCGCGGGUCAGCAGACCGCGGUGAAUACGUUCCCGGGUCUU